CCAGAGAGAGAGCAGGUUCAGCCGAAGAAGAAGGAGGGGAAGAUAUCCAGCAAAACAGCUGCUAAACUGUCUACUAGUGCUAAAAGAAUUCAGAAGGAACUUGCAGAAAUUACGUUGGGCCCACCCCCCAACUGUAGGGCCUUCCUCUGCCAUGCAGGGGUUGGUGAAGAACUGGAGUCAGGGCCUUCCUCUGCCGUGCAGGGAUUGGUGAAGAGCUGGAGUCAGGGCCUUCCUCUGCCAUGCAGGGAUUGGUGAAGAGCUGGAGUCAGGGCCUUCCUCUGCCAUGCAGGGAUUGGUGAAGAGCUGGAGUCAGGGCCUUCCUCUGCCGUGCAGGGAUUGGUGAAGAGCUGGAGCCAGGGCCUUCCUCUGCCGUGCAGGGGUUGGUGAAGAGCUGGAGUUAGUGAGAUACCCUCAAGGGACAGAAUUUCUUCAAACUUGAGUCGGUCGGCACGGUGUUGGAUGUCAUCAGUGAAAUGCUCAGACUGAACUCAUCAAAGAAGGAAUCGGCUAGGCCUUACCUGGCUCCUGACAGUACCAAUCCAGGCAGAGAUGUUUGGGCCUGAAGAGGAAGAAUUCUUCCAGGGUGUUGGAAAGGCAUCUUCACGACAAGCUGAAGCCAAAUGGAGGCAUUUGAGAACAAAUGGUUUUGAAAAAUCCUGGACAUUCGGUGAGAUACUCAUAGAGAACAUCAGGAACUUUUCCAGUGAGUCGGCUCUUCACAUCAAAUGACCAAAAUACUGGAGCUUCAGCUUUAGCAUCAGUCUUUCCAACAACUAUUCAGGGGUAAUUUCCCUUAAGACUGCCUGGUGUGAUCUCCUUGAUUCAAGGGACUCUCGGGAGUCUUCUCCAGCCCCACGGUUUGAAGGCAUCGGUUCUUUGGCAUCCCGCCUUCUUUACUGUCCAGCUCUCACCACUGUAGGUGACCACUGGGAAGACCAGAGCCGUAACUGUAUGGAUCUUUGUCGGCAGAGUUUUUUGCUUUUCAACACACUGUCUAGGUUUGUCAUC
This is a long non-coding RNA of Cervus elaphus (red deer), 1008 nucleotides long. RefSeq lists it as uncharacterized. The record is from RefSeq and is a predicted model, not a curated record. Lineage: Eukaryota; Metazoa; Chordata; Mammalia; Artiodactyla; Cervidae. The transcript has 7 exons.